UGUGCAGGCGGGCUGGCGUGUCGAUGGUGAAAGCUCCCGGCUUAACCGGGAAAGUGCUGUCGAAACCACCAGUCUUGAGGGCGGAAGAGGAAACUGGAACUUCUGGUGUAGCGGUAAAAAUGCGUAGAUAUCAGAAGGAACGCCGAUAGCGAAGGCAGGUUUCUGGGACGUUCCUGACGCUGAAACACGAAAGCUAGGGGAGCAAACAGGAUUAGAUACCCUGGUAGUCCUAGCUGUAAACGAUGUACAUUAGGCGUGGGGAUUUUCCCCGUGCCGGAGCCAACGCGUUAAAUGUACCGCCUGGGGACUACGGCCGCAAGGUUGAA
RNAcentral lists this ribosomal RNA (326 nucleotides) under uncultured bacterium. RNAcentral describes it as "bacterial SSU rRNA". It matches the Rfam family "Bacterial small subunit ribosomal RNA", at positions 568 to 898 of the family's 1533-position model. The record is from RNAcentral.